UAGGGAAUCUUCCGCAAUGGGCGAAAGCUUGACGGAGCAACGCCGCGUGAGUGAUGAAGGUCUUCGGAUCGUAAAACUCUGUUAUAAGGGAAGAACAAAUGUGUAAGUAACUAUGCACGUCUUGACGGUACCUAAUCAGAAAGCCACGGCUAACUACGUGCCAGCAGCCGCGGUAAUACGUAGGUGGCAAGCGAUAUCCGGAAUUAUUGGGAGUAAAGCGCGCGUAGGCGGUUUUGUAAGUCUGAUGUGAAAGCCAACGGCUCAACCGUAGACGGUCAUUGGAAACUGGAGAACUCGGGUGCAGAAGAGGAAGGUAGCAUUCCAUGUGUAGCGGUGAAAUGCGCAGAGAAAUGGAGGAACACCAGUGGCGAAGGCCACAUUCUAGUCUAUAACUGACGCUGAUGUGCGAAAGCCGGGGGAUCAAACUGG
Molecule: ribosomal RNA, 429 nt
Filed under: Actinomycetes bacterium
Lineage: Bacteria; Bacillati; Actinomycetota; Actinomycetes
Description: Actinobacteria bacterium partial 16S ribosomal RNA
Rfam family: Bacterial small subunit ribosomal RNA
Source: RNAcentral